This 90-nucleotide transfer RNA is filed under the name Alphaproteobacteria bacterium. RNAcentral's name for it is "tRNA-Ser". It matches the Rfam family "tRNA". From Rfam's summary of the family: Transfer RNA (tRNA) molecules are approximately 80 nucleotides in length. The record is from RNAcentral. Lineage: Bacteria; Pseudomonadati; Pseudomonadota; Alphaproteobacteria. RNAcentral also lists the same sequence under 2 other names.
GGAGGGGUGGCCGAGUGGCUGAAGGCGCACGCUUGGAAAGCGUGUAUACGGGGAACCGUAUCGUGGGUUCGAAUCCCACUCCCUCCGCCA